Molecule: ribosomal RNA, 468 nt
Filed under: uncultured bacterium
Lineage: Bacteria
Description: partial 16S ribosomal RNA
Rfam family: Bacterial small subunit ribosomal RNA
Source: RNAcentral
GACGAACGCUGGCGGCGUGCUUAACACAUGCAAGUCGAACGGAAAGGCCCUGCUUUUGUGGGGUGCUCGAGUGGCGAACGGGUGAGUAAAACGUGAGUAACCUGCCCCUGACUUUGGGAUAACUUCAGGAAACUGGGGCUAAUACAGGAUAGGAGCUCCUGCUGCAUGGUGGGGGUUGGAAAGUUUCGGCGGUUGGGGAUGGACUCGCGGCUUAUCAGCUUGUUGGUGGGGUUAUGGCGUACCAAGGUUUUGACGGGUAGCCGGCCUGAGAGGGUGACCGGGCACCAUGGGACUGAGAUACGCACCAGACUCCUACGGUCCGCAACAGUGGGAAAUAUUGCACAAUGGGCGGAAGCCUGAUGCGGCAACGCCGCGUGCGGGAUGACGGCCUUCUGGGUGUGAACCACUUUCGCAGGUAACGAAGCGUGAGUGACGGUAAUGGGUAAAGAAGCACCGGCUAACUACGUG